GCAUUCCCUCACGUUGAGAGGUACUUCUGGACCGUGAUCAACCAGCCUAACUUCAAGAAGGUGGUGGGUGAGGUCAAACAGACUGAAGCUGUCCCUCCUGUUGCUUCCAAGAAACCUGCUCAGCCUGCAAAGGCCAAGGAGGAGCCGAAGAAAAAGGCUGCCCCUGCAGCAGAGGCACCUAAGCCUGUUGAGGAGGAAGAGGCACCAAAGCCCAAAGCAAAGAACCCUCUUGACUUGCUACCACCAACCCCCAUGGUCCUCGAUGAGUGGAAGAGGCUUUACUCUAACACCAAAUCCAACUUCCGUGAGGUUGCUAUUAAAGG
RNAcentral lists this long non-coding RNA (323 nucleotides) under Brassica rapa (field mustard). RNAcentral describes it as "long non-coding RNA (BRAP_LNC004048)". Lineage: Eukaryota; Viridiplantae; Streptophyta; Magnoliopsida; Brassicales; Brassicaceae. The record is from RNAcentral.